RNAcentral lists this ribosomal RNA (440 nucleotides) under uncultured bacterium. RNAcentral's name for it is "partial 16S ribosomal RNA". It matches the Rfam family "Bacterial small subunit ribosomal RNA", at positions 338 to 795 of the family's 1533-position model. The record is from RNAcentral.
CCUACGGGUGGCAGCAGUGGGGAAUAUUGCACAAUGGGGGAAACCCUGAUGCAGCGACGCCGCGUGAGUGAAGAAGUAAUUCGUUAUGUAAAGCUCUAUCAGCAGGGAAGAAAAUGACGGUACCUGAGUAAGAAGCCCCGGCUAACUACGUGCCAGCAGCCGCGGUAAUCCGUAGGGGGCAAGCGUUAUCCGGAUUUACUGGGUGUAAAGGGAGCGUAGACGGCAGUGCAAGUCUGGAGUGAAAGGCGUGGGCUAAACCCCCGGACUGCGCUGGAAACUGUACGGCUGGAGUGCAGGAGAGGUAAGUGGAAUUCCUAGUGUAGCGGUGAAAUGCGUAGAUAUUAGGCGGAACACCAGUGGCGAAGGCGGCUUACUAGACUGUAACUGACGUUGAGGCUCGAAAGCGUGGGGAGCAAACAGGAUUAGAUACCCCUGUAGUC